RNAcentral lists this unclassified non-coding RNA (346 nucleotides) under soil metagenome. RNAcentral's name for it is "partial contains 5.8S ribosomal RNA, internal transcribed spacer 2, and large subunit ribosomal RNA". The stretch from base 1 to 120 matches the Rfam family "5.8S ribosomal RNA", at positions 35 to 154 of the family's 154-position model. The record is from RNAcentral.
GAUGAAGAACGCAGCGAAAUGCGAUAAGUAAUGUGAAUUGCAGAAUUCCGUGAAUCAUCGAAUUUUUGAACGCACAUUGCGCCCCCUGGUAUUCCGGGGGGCAUGCCUGUCCGAGCGUCAUUGCUGCCCUCAAGCACGGCUUGUGUGUUGGGCCCCGUCCUCCGAUUCCGGGGGACGGGCCCGAAAGGCAGCGGCGGCACCGCGUCCGGUCCUCGAGCGUAUGGGGCUUUGUCACCCGCUCUGUAGGCCCGGCCGGCGCUUGCCGAUCAACCCAAAUUUUUAUCCAGGUUGACCUCGGAUCAGGUAGGGAUACCCGCUGAACUUAAGCAUAUCAAUAAGCGGAGGA